UACGUAGGUGACAAGCGUUAUCCGGAUUUAUUGGGCGUAAAGCGCACGCAGGCGGCAGCUCAAGUCUGACGUGAAAUCUCUCGGCUUAACCGGGAGCGGUCGUUGGAAACUGAGUUGCUUGAGGCGAUGAGAGGGGUGUGGAAUUCCCGGUGUAGUGGUGGAAUGCGUAGAUAUCGGGAGGAACAUCAGUGGCGAAAGCGGCACCCUGGCAUUAGCCUGACGCUCAUGUGCGAAAGCGUGGGGAGCGAACGGG
RNAcentral lists this ribosomal RNA (253 nucleotides) under uncultured bacterium. Its description in RNAcentral is "partial 16S ribosomal RNA". It matches the Rfam family "Bacterial small subunit ribosomal RNA", at positions 524 to 776 of the family's 1533-position model. The record is from RNAcentral.